RNAcentral lists this unclassified non-coding RNA (433 nucleotides) under uncultured Russula. Its description in RNAcentral is "sequence contains ITS2". The stretch from base 1 to 154 matches the Rfam family "5.8S ribosomal RNA". The record is from RNAcentral. Lineage: Eukaryota; Fungi; Basidiomycota; Agaricomycetes; Russulales; Russulaceae.
AACUUUCAACAAUGGAACUCUUGGCUCUCGCAUCGAUGAAGAACGCAGCGAAAUGCGAUACGUAAUGUGAAUUGCAGAAUUCAGUGAAUCAUCGAAUCUUUGAACGCACCUUGCGCCCCUUGGAAUUCCGAGGGGCACACCCGUUUGAGUGUCGUGAACAUCCUUCAACCUUUCUUGGUUUCUUGACCGGGGAAGGCUUGGACUUUGGGGGUCUUUCAUUGCUGGCCUCUUUGAAGCCAGCUCCUCCUAAAUGUAUUAGUGUGGUCUGCUUUGCCGAUCCUUGACGUGAUAAGAUGUUUCUACGUCUUGGGUUUCGCACUGUCGCUUUAGACCCCGCUUCUAACCGUCUUGCAUUCAAGACAGAGUUUUAAACCUUGACCUCAAAUCGGGUGAGACUACCCGCUGAACUUAAGCAUAUCAAUAAGCGGAGGCU